Molecule: microRNA precursor, 89 nt
Filed under: Podarcis lilfordi (Lilford's wall lizard)
Lineage: Eukaryota; Metazoa; Chordata; Lepidosauria; Squamata; Lacertidae
Source: RNAcentral
UCAGGGGUGUGUGUGUGUGUGUGUGUGUGUGUGUAUACAUACAUACACAUCACACACACACACACACACACACACACACACAGCCCUGC